This is a long non-coding RNA of Megalobrama amblycephala (Wuchang bream), 1469 nucleotides long. RefSeq lists it as uncharacterized. The record is from RefSeq and is a predicted model, not a curated record. The transcript is spliced from 2 exons. Lineage: Eukaryota; Metazoa; Chordata; Actinopteri; Cypriniformes; Xenocyprididae.
UCAAAAAUAUCUUAAUUUGUGUUCUGAAGAUGAAUGAAGGUCUUACGGGUGUGGAACGACACGAGGGUGAGUAAUUAAUGACAGAAUUUUAAUUUUUGGGUGAACUAACCCUUUAAAUAAUAGUGAUACUUAUCCGAAAAGCUUCUGAAUGACUGUGUUGAAGUGUCAUCCAGAACCUGCUGGUUUUGUACAGAUCGUGUCGUGUUAAUGUUUCACAUGCUGCUCGACUACAUUCUUGUCUUUACUACAGAAUCGCAUUCCUCUGUGGGAUUCGGCGCAGUCUCUCUCUAACACACACCACACCUGAGGAGUCUGAGGAGCGCAACACAAUGACUGUCCUGUCAUGCUCUGAGCCGAAGGAACUGGUUUCUCUGCAUAAAUCGGUUGGGAUGUCUGCUUGUAGGAUGAAUGUGGACACAUGUUCAAACAUCACCUGUCCAUCAUUGAAGCCAGUGUCAGUCCAUGUGACCCAGAACACUUCCUCUGUUGCUCCAAAGAAGCCCAGAUCUACAAAACAACAGAAUCAAACCAGUCAAUCCCAGCGUCCAUCACUGCCUGCUGUGGUUCAGGCCAGAAAUCUACUGAUUUUUAUGAAGCAUAAUAACUUUCAUAUCGUCAGUAAUGUUUCCAGACGAACAAGCAACUCUGGUUUACAUGAUUAUACACAUGCAUCAUUUUUUCCCCAUACAUUCCUGUCCAGGAUCAGGUAUGAAUCCAUCAUGAUUGUGUCAAUAUACAGUGAUUAAAAAAAUAUAAAAUUAAAAAUGUUAUUUUUGAUAUUGACAGCUGUUUGGGGGAUUAUUUUAUGGCACCAAAAUAUACAUAUAUUUUUACUGUAUUGAAAUAGCCUAAUGUCUACUUUACUUUAUUACUUUAACAGUUGAACUGAUCAAGAGUGUGUGUAUAUAUUACAUGAUACAAAUGUUGUAUUUUCUGACCAGUUUUACAGUUUUAUUACGUUUUUGUUGUUCCUGAAGUCCACCCUUCUGCUGAUUUUUAUAUGCAUUUUAUGUAUUUAAUGUGCAUUUUAAGUAUACUGUUAUAAAGAUCUCCUCGAUUUACGUUACAAGCAUCAGAAUUAUAUCUUAUUUAUUUUAACAUAAUAUUAUAAACAAUAUUUUGCACUAAAUUGCUAAGUUUUGGUCAAAGUUGAGCUGUUUUCCCCUCCAUAUUCUCACUAUAUUAUACAAUAUGAGCCAUAAUGUGUCAAAUAUGAUACUAAACAUAAACACAUAUGCAGAUUUUCUUCUAUAUUUGGUCUAAAUGUUCGAUAAACUGCUCCAUGUAAAAAAAAAAAAAGAAAAGAAAAAAGGGUUUACAGAGUUAAUUGAAUCAUUGCAUGAAUCUGAAUGAACUGACAGAAGUUACUUACAUGUGAGUCGCGUGACACUCGAUUCUGUGUCGGUUUUAUGUGCUGUAAUAUGACUGUAAGGCUGUAAUAUGACUGUAAAUAAAACAAUCUGCACGUG